This 865-nucleotide long non-coding RNA is filed under the name Jatropha curcas. Its description in RNAcentral is "long non-coding RNA (JCUR_LNC000825)". The record is from RNAcentral. Lineage: Eukaryota; Viridiplantae; Streptophyta; Magnoliopsida; Malpighiales; Euphorbiaceae.
UCAAAUAAUAAUUAAAUCAAUAUUAUUGGGCAACGAUGGACACUUACAAGAGAUGGUUAAAAGAAAAACGGGAAACCCAUAAAUCAAAUUUCCUCUCUUUCUUUGAUUUUCCAGACAUGUAACAAUCCCUACCGCAAAGAGAAAGGUAGACAUCUGACUAUGUCUGAUUGAAUCAACCAAAUCUCUACAUACAUAAUGCAUGAAGUCUUGAGUGGUAUAGUGUACAGAGAUUGCAUAUGCUCAAGCAAAUAUAUGCAAAUGCAAAACAAGUCAAUGAGAGAGAUGCAGAGUCCAGAUGUAGCUCAAAUAAUAAUUAACCAAUAUUAUUGGGCAACGAUGGACACUUACAAGAGAUGGUUAAAAGAAAAACGGGAAACCCAUAAAUCAAAUUUCCUCUCUUUCUUUGAUUUUCCAGACAUGUAACAAUCCCUACCGCAAAGAGAAAGGUAGACAUCUGACUAUGUCUGAUUGAAUCAACCAAAUCUCUACAUACAUAAUGCAUGAAGUCUUGAGUGGUAUAGUGUACAGAGAUUGCAUAUGCUCAAGCAAAUAUAUGCAAAUGCAAAACAAGUCAAUGAGAGAGAUGUAGAGUCCAGAUGUAGCUCAAAUAAUAAUUAAACCAAUAUUAUUGGGCAACGAUGAACACUUAAAAGAGAUGGUUAAAAGAAAAACGGGAAACCCAUAAAUCAAAUUUCCUCUCUUUCUUUGAUUUUCCAGACAUGUAACAAUCCCUACCACGAUAAUACACAGUAGGCAUCUGACUAUGUCUGGUAUAAAAUCAUUGCAAUCAAACCGCCUUGAAGUAGACUCAAAAAUGAAAUAUUAGCACUUCGCAGCCAAUCUUUAGUGAAAAAGCAAUUUUUUU